This is a non-coding RNA of Anaerostipes sp. CAG:276, 179 nucleotides long. The record is from Rfam. Lineage: Bacteria; Bacillati; Bacillota; Clostridia; Lachnospirales; Lachnospiraceae.
AACGGCCUGGGGUGUUCGAUAACGCCUGCUAUUUUGAACCUACAACUAUUUGAACGGGAUUCCGAAUAUCCGGCUGGAUACCAAGCCACAAUACGGUGGAAGGUAGAAGGCAGGAUGAGGAAACCCACCUAGCUGUGGCUAGGAGUCAAAAUUGCGGGGAACGGCAUCUUGGGCAUAAC